GGGUGAGUAACACGUGAGCAACCUGCCCCUGACUCUGGGAUAAGCGCUGGAAACGGCGUCUAAUACUGGAUAUGUGACGUGACCGCAUGGUCUGCGUUUGGAAAGAUUUUUCGGUUGGGGAUGGGCUCGCGGCCUAUCAGCUUGUUGGUGAGGUAAUGGCUCACCAAGGCGUCGACGGGUAGCCGGCCUGAGAGGGUGACCGGCCACACUGGGACUGAGACACGGCCCAGACUCCUACGGGAGGCAGCAGUGGGGAAUAUUGCACAAUGGGCGAAAGCCUGAUGCAGCAACGCCGCGUGAGGGAUGACGGCCUUCGGGUUGUAAACCUCUUUUAGCAGGGAAGAAGCGAAAGUGACGGUACCUGCAGAAAAAGCGCCGGCUAACUACGUGCCAGCAGCCGCGGUAAUACGUAGGGCGCAAGCGUUAUCCGGAAUUAUUGGGCGUAAAGAGCUCGUASGCGGUUUGUCGCGUCUGCUGUGAAAUCCCGAGGCUCAACCUCGGGCCUGCAGUGGGUACGGGCAGACUAGAGUGCGGUAGGGGAGAUUGGAAUUCCUGGUGUAGCGGUGGAAUGCGCAGAUAUCARGAGGAACACCGAUGGCGAAGGCAGAUCUCUGGGCCGUAACUGACGCUGAGGAGCGAAAGGGUGGGGAGCAAACAGGCUUAGAUACCCUGGUAGUCCACCCCGUAAACGUUGGGAACUAGUUGUGGGGUCCAUUCCACGGAUUCCGUGACGCAGCUAACGCAUUAAGUUCCCCGCCUGGGGAGUACGGCCGCAAGGCUAAAACUCAAAGGAAUUGACGGGGACCCGCACAAGCGGCGGAGCAUGCGGAUUAAUUMGAUGCAACGCGAAGAACCUUACCAAGGCUUGACAUAUACGAGAACGGGCCAGAAAUGSUCAACUCUUUGGACACUCGUAAACAGGUGGUGCAUGGUUGUCGUCAGCUCGUGUCGUGAGAUGUUGGGUUAAGUCCCGCAACGAGCGCAACCCUCGUUCUAUGUUGCCAGCACGUAAUGGUGGGAACUCAUGGGAUACUGCCGGGGUCAACUCGGAGGAAGGUGGGGAUGACGUCAAAUCAUCAUGCCCCUUAUGUCUUGGGCUUCACGCAUGCUACAAUGGCCGGUACAAAGGGCUGCAAUACCGUGAGGUGGAGCGAAUCCCAAAAAGCCGGUCCCAGUUCGGAUUGAGGUCUGCAACUCGACCUCACGAAGUCGGAGUCGCUAGUAAUCGCAGAUCAGCAACGCUGCGGUGAAUACGUUCCCGGGUCUUGUACACACCGCCCGUCAAGUCAUGAAAGUCGGUAACACCUGAAGCCGGUGGCCUAACCCUUGGGAGGGAGCGUCCAAGGUGG
This 1349-nucleotide ribosomal RNA is filed under the name Microbacterium sp. BJC16-A40. Its description in RNAcentral is "bacterial SSU rRNA". It matches the Rfam family "Bacterial small subunit ribosomal RNA", at positions 104 to 1465 of the family's 1533-position model. Lineage: Bacteria; Bacillati; Actinomycetota; Actinomycetes; Micrococcales; Microbacteriaceae. The record is from RNAcentral.